This 242-nucleotide unclassified non-coding RNA is filed under the name plant metagenome. Its description in RNAcentral is "partial contains small subunit ribosomal RNA, internal transcribed spacer 1, and 5.8S ribosomal RNA". The record is from RNAcentral.
UCUCCGUUGGUGAACCAGCGAAGGGAUCAUUACAGAGUUUUCACAACUCCCAACCCUUGCGAACCGUACCCAUUCUGUUCUCGUUGCUUCCGGCGGGGCGGACGGGGGGGCCCGAAACGGCCUCCCCGCCCCGCCCGCCGGGGGCGGCGGGCCCUACGAACCUUUAUAUCGCAACCACCAGAAACCGUCUGAGAAAACAAACAAAAUAAUCAAAACUUUCAACAACGGAUCUCUUGGCUCUG